AAUAGAUACCCAGGUAGUCCACGCCGUAAACGGUGGGCACUAGGUGUGGGCGACAUUCCACGUCGUCCGUGCCGCAGCUAACGCAUUAAGUGCCCCGCCUGGGGAGUACGGCCGCAAGGCUAAAACUCAAAGGAAUUGACGGGGGCCCGCACAAGCGGCGGAGCAUGUGGCUUAAUUCGACGCAACGCGAAGAACCUUACCAAGGCUUGACAUACACCGGAAACGUCCAGAGAUGGGCGCCCCCUUGUGGUCGGUGUACAGGUGGUGCGUGGCUGUCGUCAGCUCGUGUCGUGAGAUGUUGGGUUAAGUCCCGCAACGAGCGCAACCCUUGUCCCGUGUUGCCAGCAGGCCCUUGUGGUGCUGGGGACUCACGGGAGACCGCCGGGGUCAACUCGGAGGAAGGUGGGGACGACGUCAAGUCAUCAUGCCCCUUAUGUCUUGGGCUGCACACGUGCUACAAUGGCCGGUACAAUGAGCUGCGAUACCGCGAGGUGGAGCGAAUCUCAAAAAGCCGGUCUCAGUUCGGAUUGGGGU
This 534-nucleotide ribosomal RNA is filed under the name uncultured bacterium. RNAcentral describes it as "bacterial SSU rRNA". It matches the Rfam family "Bacterial small subunit ribosomal RNA", at positions 777 to 1304 of the family's 1533-position model. The record is from RNAcentral.